AACUAUAACGGUCCUAAGGUAGCGAAAUUCCUUGUCGGGUAAGUUCCGACCCGCAUGAAAGGCGUAAUGAUUUGGGCACUGUCUCAACGAGGGGCCCGGUGAAAUUGAAAUACCUGUGAAGAUGCAGGUUACCCGCGACUGGACAGAAAGACCCCAUGGAGCUUCACUGCAGCUUGAGAUUGAAUCCCGGUGACAGAUGCACAGGAUAGGUGGGAGGCGCCGAAGCAUUGCCCUAGGGCGGUGCGGAGCCGAUGUUGGGAUACCACCCUUCUGUUGCUGAGAUUCUAACGCGAGGAGUAACGACCCUGCGGACCCUCUCAGGCAGGCGGUUUGACUGGGGCGGUCGCCUCCGAAAGAGUAACGGAGGCGCCCAAAGGUUCCCUCAGGCCGGACAGAAACCGGCCGAAGAGUGCAAAGGCAGAAGGGAGCUUGACUGCGAGACCAACAAGUCGAGCAGAGACGAAAGUCGGGCUUAGUGAUCCGGUGGUACUGGGUGGAAAGGCCAUCGCUCAACGGAUAAAAGCUACCCUGGGGAUAACAGGCUAAUCUCUCCCAAGAGUCCAUAUCGACGGGGAGGUUUGGCACCUCGAUGUCGGCUCAUCACAUCCUGGGGCUGGAGUAGGUCCCAAGGGUUGGGCUGUUCGCCCAUUAAAGUGGUACGCGAGCUGGGUUCAAAACGUCGUGAGACAGUUUGGUUCAUAUCCAUCGCGGGCGCAAGAAGUUUGAGAGGAGCUGCUCCUAGUACGAGAGGACCGGAGUGGACGGAUCAACGGUGUCCCAGUUGUCACGCCAGUGGCACGGCUGGAAAGCCGCAUCCGGGAAGGAUAAACGCUGAAAGCAUCUAAGCGUGAAGCCAACCUCAAGAUGAGACUUCUCAUCAGCAAUGAGUAAGACCCCUUACAGACGAUGAGGUAGAUAGGUUAUGAGUGGAAGAGCCGCAAGGCUUGGAGCGACAUAAAACUAAUAGGUCGAGGUCUUAACUUA
RNAcentral lists this ribosomal RNA (984 nucleotides) under metagenome. RNAcentral describes it as "bacterial LSU rRNA". It matches the Rfam family "Bacterial large subunit ribosomal RNA", at positions 1938 to 2925 of the family's 2925-position model. The record is from RNAcentral.